This 577-nucleotide ribosomal RNA is filed under the name uncultured bacterium. RNAcentral describes it as "bacterial SSU rRNA". It matches the Rfam family "Bacterial small subunit ribosomal RNA", at positions 313 to 890 of the family's 1533-position model. The record is from RNAcentral.
UUGGAACUGAGACACGGUCCAAACUCCUACGGGAGGCAGCAGUGAGGAAUAUUGGUCAAUGGGCGAGAGCCUGAACCAGCCAAGUAGCGUGAAGGAUGACCGCCCUAUGGGUUGUAAACUUCUUUUAUAUGGGAAUAAAGUCUGCCACGUGUGGCAUUUUGUAUGUACCAUAUGAAUAAGGAUCGGCUAACUCCGUGCCAGCAGCCGCGGUAAUACGGAGGAUCCGAGCGUUAUCCGGAUUUAUUGGGUUUAAAGGGAGCGUAGGUGGACAUGUAAGUCAGUUGUGAAAGUUUGCGGCUCAACCGUAAAAUUGCAGUUGAUACUGCGUGUCUUGAGUACAGUAGAGGUGGGCGGAAUUCGUGGUGUAGCGGUGAAAUGCUUAGAUAUCACGAAGAACUCCGAUUGCGAAGGCAGCUCACUGGACUGCAACUGACACUGAUGCUCGAAAGUGUGGGUAUCAAACAGGAUUAGAUACCCUGGUAGUCCACACAGUAAACGAUGAAUACUCGCUGUUUGCGAUAUACAGUAAGCGGCCAAGCGAAAGCAUUAAGUAUUCCACCUGGGGAGUACGCCGGCA